This 472-nucleotide ribosomal RNA is filed under the name uncultured organism. Its description in RNAcentral is "partial 16S ribosomal RNA". It matches the Rfam family "Bacterial small subunit ribosomal RNA", at positions 335 to 798 of the family's 1533-position model. The record is from RNAcentral.
ACUCCUGCGGGAGGCAGCAGUGGGGAAUUUUGGACAAUGGGCGAAAGCCUGAUCCAGCAAUGCCGCGUGCAGGAUGAAGGCCUUCGGGUUGUAAACUGCUUUUGUACGGAACGAAAAAGCUCCUUCUAAUACAGGGGGCCCAUGACGGUACCGUAAGAAUAAGCACCGGCUAACUACGUGCCAGCAGCCGCGGUAAUACGUAGGGUGCGAGCGUUAAUCGGAAUUACUGGGCGUAAAGCGUGCGCAGGCGGUUAUGUAAGACAGAUGUGAAAUCCCCGGGCUCAACCUGGGAACUGCAUUUGUGACUGCAUGGCUAGAGUACGGUAGAGGGGGAUGGAAUUCCGCGGGUAGCAGUGAAAUGCGUAGAUAUGCGGAGGAACACCGAUGGCGAAGGCAAUCCCCUGGACCUGUACUGACGCUCAUGCACGAAAGCGUGGGGAGCAAACAGGAUUAGAUACCCUGGUAGUCCCAU